This 1974-nucleotide long non-coding RNA is filed under the name Marmota monax (woodchuck). The record is from RNAcentral. Lineage: Eukaryota; Metazoa; Chordata; Mammalia; Rodentia; Sciuridae.
GGGAAAGGGGGCAAAAGCUGACAUUCACAGUGAGACGUGGCUAUGCAGGAGAGUCCCAGAGAGAACUGGACCCUGAGUCGAAGACUGUGGCACCCAUGGAAAAGUAGUACACACUCAAACUCAGAGCUUUAGAGUUCAGUCGUCCUUUAAAAUGAUGAUGAAGAUGCAUACGGUGGUGAUGAUGGUGGGGUGACAAUGAUGGUGGUGAUGGUGGUAGAGGUCAUGAUGGUGGUGGUGAGGAGAUGGUGAUGACGGUAGUGAAGGUGAUGAUGGUGGUGAUGGUGGUAGUAAAGGUCACAAUGAUGGUGAUGGUGGUGAUGAUGGUGAUGAUGGUGGUGAUGGUGGUAGUAAAGGUCAUGAUGAUGGUGAUGGUGGUGAUGAUGAUGGUGAUGGUGGUAGAGGUCAUGAUGGUGGUGGUGAGGAGAUGGUGAUGACGAUAGUGAAGGUGAUGAUGGUGGUGAUGGUGGUAGUAAAGGUCAUGAUGAUGAUGAUGGUGGUGAAGAUGGUGGGGUGACAUUGAUGGUGGUGAUGGUAGUAAAGGUCAUGAUGGUGGUGGUGAGGAGAUGGUGAUGACGGUAGUGAAGGUGAUGAUGGUGGUGAUGGUGGUAGUAAAGGACAUGAUGAUGGUGAUGGUGGUGAUGAUGGUGGUGAUGGUGGUAGAGGUCAUGAUGGUGGUGGUGAGGAGAUGGUGAUGACAGUAGUGAAGGUGAUGAUGGUGGUGAUGGUGGUAGUAAAGGUCAUGAUGAUGGUGAUGGUGGUGAUGAUGGUGGUGAUGGUGGUGAUGAUGGUGGUGAUGGUGGUAGAGGUCAUGAUGGUGGUGGUGAGGAGAUGGUGAUGACGGUAGUGAAGGUGAUGAUGGUGGUGAUGGUGGUAGAGGUCAUGAUGGUGGUGGUGAGGAGAUGGUGAUGACGGUAGUGAAGGUGAUGAUGGUGGUGAUGGUGGUGAUGAUGGUGGUGAUGGUGGUAGUAAAGGUCAUGAUGAUGAUGAUGGUGGGGUGACAAUGAUGGUGGUGAUGGUAGUAAAGGUCAUGUUGGUGGUGGUGAGGAGAUGGUGAUGACGGUAGUGAAGGUGAUGAUGGUGGUGAUGGUGGUAGUAAAGGUCAUGAUGAUGAUGAUGGUGGUGAUGAUGGUGGGGUGACAUUGAUGGUGGUGAUGGUAGUAAAGGUCAUGAUGGUGGUGGUGAGGAGAUGGUGAUGACGGUAGUGAAGGUGAUGAUGGUGGUGAUGGUGGUAGUAAAGGACAUGAUGAUGGUGAUGGUGGUGAUGAUGGUGGUGAUGGUGGUAGUAAAGGUCAUGAUGAUGAUGAUGGUGGUGAUGAUGGUGGGGUGACAAUGAUGGUGGUGAUGGUAGUAAAGGUCAUGAUGGUGGUGGUGAGGAGAUGGUGAUGACGAUAGUGAAGGUGAUGAUGGUGGUGAUGGUGGUAGUAAAGGUCACGAUGAUGGUGAUGGUGGUGAUGAUAGAGUAGAGGUUAUAAAGAGGGUGAUGAGGAGGAUGGUGAUGACGGUAGUGAAGGUAACGAUGGUGAUGAUGAUGGUGAUGAUAGUGGUAGUAGAGGUUAUGGUGUUGGCGAUAAAUUGAAAGUAGUGAUGAUGGUGAUGGUAUCAAAGAUGAUGGUGGUGGUGACAAUGAGGAUAGUAGUAAAGGUGAUGGUGAUGGUGACAAUGAUAUGGUGAUGAUGAUAGUAGAGGUCAUGAUGAUGGUGAUAAUGAUGAUGGUGAUGACGGUAGUAAAGGUGAUAUUGAUGGUGAUGUGAUGAAGAGGGAGGUAGGGAUGAUGCCAAGGAUAAUGGUGAUGAUGAGGGGGAUGGUGAAGUUGAUGAAGAUGAUGAUGUUAAUGCUGGGCACAGAGGAGCUCUGUGGCUGGAGAGAGGUGAGAGGGCACUCUGCAUUUUCUGUGUUCCUUUGGAGGCAUUUUGCUUGAGUUUGGUAAGUCAUGGGCUCUUGUCUUUGAGGCACAGAUUUCUGCAGAAAAUCAUC